CAGAGGGGAGAGAGACACAGAGGAGGGAAAGACUGAGAGAGAGAGAGGAGUGUCAGCAGGUAGAACAGGUUUGGGCGAGGCGGUCGAGUGAGCUCCACACACGUGAAAAGGAGAGAGAGAGAGAGAUUUGAUUGUUCACUUUGUGACUUUAAACAGAGACGACGACACACAGAAGAAGAAGAAGAAACAAGUGGUGAAGAGAAGAAGAAGACGUGUUUUUCUUCAGAGGAACAGUUUAAAAAGAAGAAGAAGUGAGCUGGUGUAACGCAAGUGUAACCAGAGCUCUCUCGUCCUGACUUCCUGGUGUCCUCUGGUUGGACAGCUGCCUGAUUGGUUGGUUAAUUGAUAAUCUUUAGCCCCACCUUCCUGUGACACCUCGUGAUGUCAAACAUCAAUGUCUCCCUGGAGAACCCGUACGGAGAGGUGACCAUCCCCCGGGCUAAGCUACGCCCAUCAGAUGACGCCACAGUGAUAGCCAAUCCGAUGGCUUUGAGCAAUAACAACAGUAACCCAUAUGGCGUGGCAAGCUCUGCCCCGCCACCAUAUAUGGUGAAGGAAGCAGGGGAGGAGGAGGAGGGGGGGAGGUGCCCUGCCUGCUGCUACCGCUGCAGGAGGAGGAAGUGAUGACACAGCUACAGGAGGACUGUGAUUGGCUCGGAUUUGUUCAUAUCCUGUUUUUUUAAGUUCAUGUUUCCUUCCUACGUCUGAGGAAACAAGGAAGGAAACCAGGAAGGAAAGAAAGAAGGAAAGAAGGAAGGAGAGAAGGAAGGAAGGAAGGAGAUGUUAUGAAGGAAGGAAGCAAGGAGAUAUAUUAAAGAAAGGAAGGAAGGAAGGAGAUAAGGAAUGAGAUGUAUUAAAGAAAGGAAGGAAGGAAGGAAGGAAGGAAGGAGAUAAGGAAGGAAGGCGAUGUAAUGAAGGAAGUCGUAGCGGCCGUUUUGUGUCUCAUCAGGUCAAAAAAUAAAAUCUGUAAUUCCUCUCGAGUUCAGAGGUCGUCCUGAUGUGACAGGAAGUAUGAUGUUACACGUGUUGCAAAAAUAAAGUUUUAGCUCAAAAAAAGUUUAAAAUAUUUAAACAAAUUUUAAAUGGAAUACAUUUUUUGAACAGCUGAUUUGACACAAAGCAGUCCCUGCUGUUAUUUUUUUCUGCUGUUGCCAUGAUGACCGUCAUCAUCAGGGGAGACGGGUUCAAUGAAACAUGUAAAACAAUAAAGUUUAAAUAAAGUUUCUACAAACUGUAAAAA
Molecule: long non-coding RNA, 1240 nt
Organism: Labrus mixtus (cuckoo wrasse)
Lineage: Eukaryota; Metazoa; Chordata; Actinopteri; Labriformes; Labridae
Exons: 2
Source: RefSeq, a predicted model, not a curated record